AAUGAAUGUUGGCGGCAUGGAUUAGGCAUGCAAGUCGCGCGAGAAGUUUUCUUCGGAAAGCGGACAGCGGCAAACGGGGUAGGAAUACGUCGGUAUCUACCCUCGGGACCGGGAUAGCCACGGGAAACUGUGGGUAAUACCGGAUAACAUCUCUGGAUCAAAUGGUGUGAUUCCGCCCGAGGAGGAGCCGACGCGAUACCAGCUAGUUGGUAGGGUAAUGGCCUACCAAGGCUUAGACGUCUAGGGGGUGUGAGAGCAUGGCCCCCACCACUGGGACUGAGACACUGCCCAGACACCUACGGGUGGCUGCAGUCGAGAAUCUUCGGCAAUGGGCGAAAGCCUGACCGAGCGAUGCCGCGUGCGGGAUGACGGCCCUUGGGUUGUAAACCGCUGUCAGAGGGGAUGAAGGGCGUAUGCAGAAUGCGUUUUGACAAAGCCUCAAAGGAAGCCCGGGCUAAGUACGUGCCAGCCGCCGCCGUAACAC
This 484-nucleotide ribosomal RNA is filed under the name uncultured bacterium. RNAcentral's name for it is "bacterial SSU rRNA". It matches the Rfam family "Bacterial small subunit ribosomal RNA", at positions 29 to 526 of the family's 1533-position model. The record is from RNAcentral.